Molecule: ribosomal RNA, 499 nt
Filed under: uncultured bacterium
Lineage: Bacteria
Description: bacterial SSU rRNA
Rfam family: Bacterial small subunit ribosomal RNA
Source: RNAcentral
ACUCAAAUGAAUAGACGGGGGCCCGCACAAGCGGAGGAACAUGUGGUUUAAUUCGAUGAUACGCGAGGAACCUUACCCGGGCUUGAAAUGGAGAAGACUGUUGGUGAAAGCCAACUUCCAGCAAUGGCUUCUUUGUAGGUGCUGCAUGGUUGUCGUCAGCUCGUGCCGUGAGGUGUCGGCUUAAGUGCCAUAACGAGCGCAACCCUUAUUGAUAGUUACUAACAGGUAAUGCUGAGGACUCUAUUGAGACUGCCACCGUAAGGUGUGAGGAAGGUGGGGAUGACGUCAAAUCAGCACGGCCCUUACGUCCGGGGCGACACACGUGUUACAAUGGGGGGUACAGAGGGUUGCUACCACGCGAGUGGAUGCUAAUCUCACAAAUCCUCUCUCAGUUCGGAUCGGAGUCUGCAACUCGACUUCGUGAAGCUGGAUUCGCUAGUAAUCGCGCAUCAGCCAUGGCGCGGUGAAUACGUUCCCGGGCCUUGUACACACCGCCCGU